This 200-nucleotide ribosomal RNA is filed under the name uncultured bacterium. RNAcentral describes it as "partial 16S ribosomal RNA". It matches the Rfam family "Bacterial small subunit ribosomal RNA", at positions 29 to 222 of the family's 1533-position model. The record is from RNAcentral.
AGUGAACGCUGGCGGUAGGCCUAACACAUGCAAGUCGAACGGCAGCACAGUAAGAGCUUGCUCUUAUGGGUGGCGAGUGGCGGACGGGUGAGGAAUACAUCGGAAUCUACUUUUUCGUGGGGGAUAACGUAGGGAAACUUACGCUAAUACCGCAUACGACCUCGGUGAAGACAGGGACCGUUCGGGCCCGUCGCGCGAUU